UCUAGUAGCUGGUUCCCACCGAAGUUUCCCUCAGGAUAGCUGGUGCAUUUAGAUAUUAUAUAAAAUAAUCUUAUCUGGUAAAGCGAAUGAUUAGAGGCCUUAGGGCCGAAACGACCUUAACCUAUUCUCAAACUUUAAAUGGGUAAGAACCUAAAAUUUCUUGAAUGAAUUUUUAGGUUAUGAUAUAUUGUGCCCAGUGGGCCACUUUUGGUAAGCAGAACUGGCGCUGUGGGAUGAACCAAACGUGACGUUACGGUGCCUAAAAUUAACAACUCAUGCAGAUACCAUGAAAGGCGUUGCUUGCUUAAAACAGCAGGACGGUGGACAUGGAAGUCGUAAUCCGCUAAGGAGUGUGUAACAACUCACCUGCCGAAGCAACUAGCCCUUAAAAUGGAUGGCGCUUAAGUUGUAUACCUAUACGUCACUGUUAAUGUAUAUGAUUUAUAUUUUUUAAAAAUAUAAAUUUAUAAACAUUAACAAGUAGGUGGGUACAAUGGUAUGCUUAGAAGUGUUUACCGUAAGGUUGCAUGGAGCUGCCAUUGGUACAGAUCUUGGUGGUAGUAGCAAAUAAUCGAAUGAGACCUUGGAGGACUGAAGUGGAGAAGGGUUUCGUGUGAACAGUGGUUGAUCACGAGUUAGUCGGUCCUAAGCUUAAGGCGAAAGCCAAUAAAUAUUUAGAGUUUUACCCACUUUGGUAAUAUAAAAUACUUUAAGUAUAUAAAUUAAGCGAAAGGGAAUACGGUUCCAAUUCCGUAACCUGUUGAGUAUACGUUUGUAAUAAAUAUGGUCAUUAUGAUCAUCCUGGUAACAGAAACAAUCAUAGAGAAGCCGUCGAGAGGUAUCGGAAGAGUUUUCUUUUCUGUUUUAUAGUUGUAUAACCAUGGAAAUCUUUCGAAGAGAGAUAUGGUUAAUGAACUAGAAGAGCAUGGCAUUUACUGCUGUGUCGAUAUUUUCUCCUCGGACCUUGAAAAUCUAUGAUUGGGCCACGCAAACUUCUCAACAGGCCGUACCGAUAU
RNAcentral lists this ribosomal RNA (1016 nucleotides) under Dolichopus sp. HYH-2002. Its description in RNAcentral is "eukaryotic LSU rRNA". It matches the Rfam family "Eukaryotic large subunit ribosomal RNA", at positions 943 to 1853 of the family's 3401-position model. The record is from RNAcentral. Lineage: Eukaryota; Metazoa; Arthropoda; Insecta; Diptera; Dolichopodidae.